UGGCUCAGUUGGUAGAGCAUGGUGUUUGCAACGCCAGCACGGUGUGUGCAAUGCCAGGGUUGUGGGUUCGAUUCCCAC
Salmo salar (Atlantic salmon) is the source of this 78-nucleotide non-coding RNA. The record is from Rfam. NCBI's taxonomy places the organism in Eukaryota, Metazoa, Chordata, Actinopteri, Salmoniformes, Salmonidae.